UACAUAGGGUGCAAGCGUUAACCGGAAUUACUGGGCGUAAAGUGUGCGCAGGCGGUUUUGUAAGUCUGAUGUGAAAUCCCCGGGCUCAACCUGGGAAUUGCAUUGGAGACUGCAAGGCUAGAAUCUGGCAGAGGGGGGUAGAAUUCCACGUGUAGCAGUGAAAUGCGUAGAGAUGUGGAGGAACACCGAUGGCGAAGGCAGCCCCCUGGGUCAAGAUUGACGCUCAUGCACGAAAGCGUGGGGAGCAAACAGG
RNAcentral lists this ribosomal RNA (253 nucleotides) under uncultured bacterium. Its description in RNAcentral is "partial 16S ribosomal RNA". It matches the Rfam family "Bacterial small subunit ribosomal RNA", at positions 524 to 776 of the family's 1533-position model. The record is from RNAcentral.